This is a small nuclear RNA of Gracilinanus agilis (Agile Gracile Mouse Opossum), 108 nucleotides long. The record is from RefSeq and is a predicted model, not a curated record. NCBI's taxonomy places the organism in Eukaryota, Metazoa, Chordata, Mammalia, Didelphimorphia, Didelphidae.
GUGCUCGCUUCGGCAGCACACAUUCAAAAACUGGAAACAAUACAGAGAAGAUUAGCAUGGCCCCUGUGCAAGGAUGACACCCAAACUUAUCUCCUACAGUCCAAUUUA